GAAUAACUUGCUGGAAACUUUCUGACUUACUUUAAAAAAAAAAAACAUACAAUUCAUUGCUUUUUCGUUAGCUGCGUGUGCCCACUGUAGCCGCACACAAAAGCGGUCCAUUCAUGCCAGCAGCAGCAGCGAUUCGAACGCUCUGACGUUCCAUUCAUCGCCACUCGCCCGCUGCAACUCAUUUGGGAAACCAAAACCCAAUGUACCAUGAUCACAAGAGAUCGAAAUCGGCGGAACGAGAAUCGUUUUGGGAGAAGUCGUCGAGCCAGAAACUGAGUCACUAGCGAUGCCCGACGAUCGAUACGGGAUGGGAUUCCAGGGCAUGGUGCACGAUGCUAAUGCGACUGCAACGGAAAUCAAAUCUUUCAUAAACUAAAGAAGUAGAUGUAUAUGAAGUACCCAUCUCCAGUUAAUAUGACACAUCUUAGAACGCAAACAUAAUGGCUAAGCUAUCAUUUGCUACUUCAAGCUUCAACUUCCUGCGGAUAUACAUAUGUAUUUUUGUGUGUGGAACUUCAGUCUGGUCCUUAGUUUGACCAACUUUGUGGGGAAUCGACUCCUUUUGCGACAAAGAUAAACAAAAUGGCGCCCAAGCCGGGCCAUUGGCUAAGUUAUGGUGACCGGCAGAGGGACAAAGGCGGAAUGCAAAUGCAAUCCCCAGGCUCACAAAAAAAAAAUAUAUAUAUGUACACAUACACACAAAAAAUAAAAAAAAAAAAAAAGGGGAAAACGAAAAUAAGAAGGGGGAUCCCUGGCCCAGCGUCUGCAGCUGACAUGAUAUACGCUUUGAUGUCUCGUUUUUUUGAUAAAGUACUCAAUCUAUAAACGCCAAGAGCAAAAAACCGACUGCGGACCGGGGUCAAUGCAAAAAUAUGAUAUGGAAUUGCCUGGCCCUGGAUCGGAAUCUCUGGUAUUGGCGACUGGCUGAGAUUGGGAUUGCUAUUGCGAUUGCGAUUCGGAUUCGGAUUCGGAUUUGGAUUGCGACUGGGACUGGGACUGGUACUGCGAUUGAGAUUGGGCUGGUGACUCUGACUGGUGCACUAAAAAAGCGACAGCGCGCUGAAGCAGAGCCGCCAGUGGAAAAAUGAAAACAAAAGCGAGGCCGAAAUCAAAAUCAAAAGAACCAGGCAAAAAAUGGCGAGCCAGCAGCGACGCUUUAAAGGUAAACACCCCACACUCCUACUGCUGCUCCUGCUCCUGCUCUUGCUCCAGCUCCAACUCCAAUACCAUGACCAAAAGCCGGACAAAUGGACAGCGGGACAAUGGACACUGGGCACUGGACACUGAGAUUGGCAACGGCUUUUGGCUAAUUCGCGAUGCUCCACACACAACGAAAAAAAAAAUGCUUAGCUGGUAGCCGAGCACUGGAAUACCCUAAUAUUUUGACUAUUUACAAAAUUCUUCAUAUUUCAACACUAG
Drosophila melanogaster (fruit fly) is the source of this 1419-nucleotide non-coding RNA. The record is from Ensembl. NCBI's taxonomy places the organism in Eukaryota, Metazoa, Arthropoda, Insecta, Diptera, Drosophilidae.